CUGAAUUCAUGCUGCACCUUUUUGGUUACUAGCACUCUUCACAUAAAAGCAUCUAUCACAUCAUUUCUCGUACCAUCUGGUAAAAAACAACCCCUGAUGCCAAACAGCCCCUCUUUGUGAUGAGACUGAAGGAAAAACCUGGACUUCAGUGGGGAGCACUAAGGUAUCAAGGCAAGAAAAAGAGGAUGGAACUUUGCUACUGAACCAUGAGCAAAGGAGUUCUAAAUAUUUUGGCUUCACCUGAUUUGCGGAGUCACCCAUAAAUCCUGGAAUUGUAAUUGAUGUGAUGUAUUUAGAGUAAUGUAAAAAAAGAGAUGAGAAUGCUUUUAUCAAAAUUCAAAA
Molecule: long non-coding RNA, 342 nt
Organism: Calidris pugnax (ruff)
Lineage: Eukaryota; Metazoa; Chordata; Aves; Charadriiformes; Scolopacidae
Exons: 2
Source: RefSeq, a predicted model, not a curated record